Molecule: ribosomal RNA, 495 nt
Filed under: uncultured bacterium
Lineage: Bacteria
Description: partial 16S ribosomal RNA
Rfam family: Bacterial small subunit ribosomal RNA
Source: RNAcentral
GACGAACGCUGGCGGCGUGCCUAAUACAUGCAAGUAGAACGCUGAAGGAGGAGCUUGCUUCUCUGGAUGAGUUGCGAACGGGUGAGUAACGCGUAGGUAACCUGCCUGGUAGCGGGGGAUAACUAUUGGAAACGAUAGCUAAUACCGCAUAACAGUAGAUAUCGCAUGAUAUCUACUUGAAAGGUGCAAUUGCAUCACUACCAGAUGGCCCUGCGUUGUAUUAGCUAGUUGGUGAGGUAACGGCUCACCAAGGCGACGAUACAUAGCCGACCUGAGAGGGUGAGCGGCCACACUGGGACUGAGACACGGCCCAGACUCCUACGGGAGGCAGCAGGAGGGAAUCUUCGGCAAUGGACGGAAGGCUGACCGAGCAACGCCGCGGGAGUGAAGAAGGUUGUCGGAUCGUAAAGCUCGGUUGUAAGAGAAGAACGAGGGUGAGAGUGGAAAGUUCACACUGUGACGGUAGCGUAACAGAAAGGGACGGCUAACUACGUG